This is a long non-coding RNA of Oncorhynchus nerka (sockeye salmon), 3069 nucleotides long. RefSeq lists it as uncharacterized. The transcript has 4 exons. NCBI's taxonomy places the organism in Eukaryota, Metazoa, Chordata, Actinopteri, Salmoniformes, Salmonidae. The record is from RefSeq and is a predicted model, not a curated record.
ACCAACUACCAGUUUGACCUCUCCUUUGACCCCCAGCACGGCAGUGAAUCCUUCAUCAGGAGGUCAACGCUCCACAGAAAGCGUUCUGGGAGAAAGAUUUACGUCAUUUCACGGACCAGGCCCAAAGCCCCGUCAUUCACAUGAAGAGUAGACGACCGAUACAGGGGCCACAGAUCCUGAUGCUUGGUGAGAAUUCGUCUGCAAGUGGAUAAUCCUGCUUUACCAUCCGUAUCUUAUGUUUCACCGAGUCAUGGCUGAACGAGGACAUGGAUCAUAUACAGUUGGCUGGGUUUUCUGUGCAUCGGCAAGACAGAACAAUAAACCUCCAGUAAGAUGGUGGUCUGUGUCUAUUUGUCAAUAACAACUGGUGCGCAAUCUCUAAUAUUAAGGAAGUCUAGAGGUUUUGCUCGCCUGAGGUAGAUUAUGUCAUGACAAGCUGUAGACCACACUAUUUACCAAGAGAGAUCAUCUAUAUUUUUCGUAGCUGUCUAUUUACCACCACUAACCGAUGCAGGCAUUAAGCAAACAAGAGAAUGCUAAUCCAGAAACGGUGCUCCUAGUGGCUGGGGACUUUUCCCAUUUCUACCAGCAUGUCAAAUGUGCAACCAGAGGAAAGAAAUCUCUAGACCACCUUUAUUCCACACACAGAGAUGUGAACAAAUCACUCCCUCGCCCUUCAUUUGGCAAAUCUGACCAUUAUUCUAUCCUCCUGAUUCCUGCUAACAAGCAAAAAAAAAAAACUCAAUCAGGAUUUACCAGUGACUCGCUCCAUACGGAAGUGGUCAGAUGACACGCAUGCUAAGCUACAGGACUGUUUUUCUAGCACAGACUGGAAUAUGUUUUGGGAUUCAUCUGAUGGCAUUGUGAAGUAUACCACAUCAAUCAAUUCAAUUCAAUUCAAUUCAAGGGCUUUAUUGGCAUGGGAAACAUGUGUUAACAUUGCCAAAGCAAGUGAGGUAGACAACAUACAAAGUGAAUAUAUAUAAAGUGAAAAACAACAAAAAUUAACAGUAAACAUUACACAUACAGAAGUUUCAAAACAGUAAAGACAUUACAAAUGUCAUAUUAUAUAUAUAUACAAUGUACAAAUAGUUAAAGGACACAAGAUAAAAUGAAUAAGCAUAAAUAUGGGUUGUAUUUACAAUGGUGUUUGUUCUUCACUGGUUGCCCUUUUCUUGUGGCAACAGGUCACAACAGGUGACAGGUCAAUCACCGACUUCAACUGAUUGUACAUAUGCCAACCAGAAGCCAUGGAUUACAGGCAACAUCCGCACUGAGCAAAAAGCUAGAGCUGCCGCUUUCAAGGAGCGGGACACUAAUCCGGAUGCUUAUAAGAAAUCCCGCUAUGCCCUCCGACGAACCACCAAACAGGCAAAGCAUUAAUACAGGGCUAAGAUUGAAUCCAACUACACUGGCUCUGAUGCUCGUCGGAUAAAGCAGGCUUGCAAACAAUUCUUCUACGGAUUACAAAGGGAAAUCCAACUGUGAGCUGCCCAGUGACGAAGGCCUACCAAACGAGCUAAAUCCCUUCUAUGCUUUCUUCAAGGCAAGCAACACUGAACCAUGCAUGAGAUUGCCAGCUGUUUCGGACAACUGUGAGAUCACGCUCUCCAUAGCUGAUGUGAGUAAGACCUUUAAACAGGUCAACAUUCACAAGGCUGCAGGGCCAGACGGAUUUCCAGGACGCAUACUGAGAACAUGCACUGACCAACUGGCAAGUGUCUUCACUGACAUUUUCAACCUCUCCCUGACCGAGUCUGUAAUAACAACAUGUUCAAGCAGACCACCAUAGUCCCUGUGCCCAAGAAUGCCAAGGUAAUCUGCGAAAUCACAAUGGUGACAAUGAUGAGACAGCCUAUAGGGAGGAGGUCAGAGACCUGUCAGUGUGAUGCCAAGACAACAAGCGCUUCCUCAGCACCCCCCCCUCCAUUCACAUCGACAGGGCUGUAGUGGAGCGGGUUCGAGAGCUUCAACUUUCUUGGUGUCCACAUCACUAACAAACUAUCAUGGUCCAAACACAGCAAGACAGUCGUGAAGAAGGCAUGUCAAUGCCUGUCCCCUCUCAGGAGACCAAAAAGAUUUGGCAUGGGUCCUCAGAUCCUCAAAAAGUUAUACAGCUGCACCAUAGAGAGCAUCCUGACUGAUUGAUCACCGCUUGGUUUGGCAACUUCUCGGCAUCCGACCGCAGAGGUUAGAGCGUACGGCCCAGUACAUCACUUGGGACAAGAUUCCUGCCAUCCAGGACAUCUAUACCAGGCGGGGUCAGAGGAAGGCCCUUAAAAUUGUCAAAGACUCCAGCCACCCAAAUCAUGAACUGUUCUCUCUGCUACUGCAUGGCAAGUGGUACUGGAUUGCCAAGUCCAGGUCCAAAAGGCUCCUUAACAGCUUCUACCCCCAAGCUAUAAGACUGCUGAAGAGUUAAUGAAAUGGCUAACCAGACUAUUUGCAUUGACCUCCUUUUUUAUUCUGCUGCUACUCUUUGUUUAUUACCUAUAAAUAGUCACUUUACACCUUCCUACAUAUACAUAUUACCUGAAUGUCCUCCUUUAUAUUGCCUCGCUAUUGUUAUUUUAUUGUGUUGCUUUUUAAAACGUUUUGGGAUUUUUAAUUAUUGAGUUAUUUAUUUAAAAAUUUAACAAAGGUAGCACAUAUUUUCUUACAUUAAAAAAAAUGCAUUGUUGAUAGUAAGUGUUUCAUGGUAAGGUUGUAUUGUAACACCUGUUGUAUUCGACGCAUGUGCAUAACGAUGGUCAUUAUUGCCAAACAGUUCAAUUUUUCUUUCAUCAGACAAGAGGAUAUUUCUCCAAAAGUAUGAUCUUUGUCCCCAUGUGCAGUUGCAAACCAUAGUCUGGCUUUUUUAUGACGUUAUUGGAGCAAUGGCUUCUUCCUUGCUGAGCUGAUAUGUCGAUAUAGGACUCAUUUUACUGUGGAUAUAGAUACAAAUCAUUUGCAAACAUUUUCCUUCUCAUAUUAAUGUAAGUGCCUUUGACAUGGGUUAAUCUUUCAACUCCUUUUGGUGAUAUUGUGUAGUGUAGGCUAUAUUCAAUAUCAUUAAUUUAGCCUAAUUUG